UUGGACAAUGGGCGCAAGCCUGAUCCAGCCAUGCCGCGUGCAGGAUGACGGUCCUAUGGAUUGUAAACUGCUUUUAUACGAGAAGAAACAUCCCGACGUGUCGGGACUUGACGGUAUCGUAAGAAUAAGGAUCGGCUAACUCCGUGCCAGCAGCCGCGGUAAUACGGAGGAUCCAAGCGUUAUCCGGAAUCAUUGGGUUUAAAGGGUCCGUAGGCGGUUUAAUAAGUCAGUGGUGAAAGCCCAUCGCUCAACGGUGGAACGGCCAUUGAUACUGUUAGACUUGAAUUAUUAGGAAGUAACUAGAAUAUGUAGUGUAGCGGUGAAAUGCUUAGAGAUUACAUGGAAUACCAAUUGCGAAGGCAGGUUACUACUAAUUGAUUGACGCUGAUGGACGAAAGCGUGGGUAGCGAACAGGAUUAGAUACCCUGGUAGUCCACGCCGUAAACGAUGGAUACUAGCUGUUGGGAGCAAUCUCAGUGGCUAAGCGAAAGUGAUAAGU
RNAcentral lists this ribosomal RNA (499 nucleotides) under Flavobacterium johnsoniae. Its description in RNAcentral is "bacterial SSU rRNA". It matches the Rfam family "Bacterial small subunit ribosomal RNA", at positions 364 to 865 of the family's 1533-position model. Lineage: Bacteria; Pseudomonadati; Bacteroidota; Flavobacteriia; Flavobacteriales; Flavobacteriaceae. The record is from RNAcentral.